RNAcentral lists this ribosomal RNA (268 nucleotides) under uncultured bacterium. RNAcentral describes it as "partial 16S ribosomal RNA". It matches the Rfam family "Bacterial small subunit ribosomal RNA", at positions 43 to 339 of the family's 1533-position model. The record is from RNAcentral.
CAUGCCUAACACAUGCAAGUCGAACGAGAUCUUCGGAUCUAGUGGCGCACGGGUGAGUAACGCGUAGGAACCUGCCAAGUAGUGGGGAAUAACAGUUGGAAACGACUGCUAAUACCGCAUACGCCCUUCGGGGGAAAGAUUUAUCGCUAUUUGAGGGUCCUGCGUUCGAUUAGCUUGUUGGCGGGGUAACGGCCCACCAAGGCGACGAUCGAUAGCUGGUCUGAGAGGAUGAUCAGCCACACUGGGACUGAGACACGGCCCAGACUCC